This 253-nucleotide ribosomal RNA is filed under the name uncultured bacterium. Its description in RNAcentral is "partial 16S ribosomal RNA". It matches the Rfam family "Bacterial small subunit ribosomal RNA", at positions 524 to 776 of the family's 1533-position model. The record is from RNAcentral.
UACGGAGGGUGCAAGCGUUAUCCGGAUUCACUGGGUUUAAAGGGUGCGUAGGUGGCUUUAUAAGUCAGUGGUGAAAGCCCGGAGCUUAACUCCGGAACUGCCAUUGAUACUGUUUAGCUUGAAUCAAGUAGAGGUGGAUGGAAUAUUACAUGUAGCGGUGAAAUGCUUAGAGAUGUAAUAGAACACCAAUUGCGAAGGCAGUUCACUAUGCUUGCAUUGACACUGAGGCACGAAAGCGUGGGGAUCAAACAGG